CGGCGCACGGGUGAGUAACACGUAUCCAACCUGCCUCAUACUCGGGGAUAGCCUUUCGAAAGAAAGAUUAAUAUCCGAUAGCAUAUAUUUCCCGCAUGGGUUUUAUAUUAAAGAAAUUCGGUAUGAGAUGGGGAUGCGUUCCAUUAGUUUGUUGGCGGGGUAACGGCCCACCAAGACUACGAUGGAUAGGGGUUCUGAGAGGAAGGUCCCCCACAUUGGAACUGAGACACGGUCCAAACUCCUACGGGAGGCAGCAGUGAGGAAUAUUGGUCAAUGGACGCGAGUCUGAACCAGCCAAGUAGCGUGAAGGAUGACUGCCCUAUGGGUUGUAAACUUCUUUUAUAUGGGAAUAAAGUGGUCCACGUGUGGAUUUUUGUAUGUACCAUAUGAAUAAGGAUCGGCUAACUCCGUGCCAGCAGCCGCGGUAAUACGGAGGAUCCGAGCGUUAUCCGGAUUUAUUGGGUUUAAAGGGAGCGUAGGCGGAUUGUUAAGUCAGUUGUGAAAGUUUGCGGCUCAACCGUAAAAUUGCAGUUGAUACUGGCAGUCUUGAGUGCAGUAGAGGUGGGCGGAAUUCGUGGUG
RNAcentral lists this ribosomal RNA (580 nucleotides) under uncultured Bacteroidales bacterium. RNAcentral's name for it is "bacterial SSU rRNA". It matches the Rfam family "Bacterial small subunit ribosomal RNA", at positions 96 to 675 of the family's 1533-position model. The record is from RNAcentral. Lineage: Bacteria; Pseudomonadati; Bacteroidota; Bacteroidia; Bacteroidales.